UGCCUUUCGGGGAUGUUAACACGGGUGGUGCGCGGGUGUCGUCCUCUCGUGUCGAGAGAUGUUGGGUUAACUCCCGCCACGAGCGCCCCCCACGUCUUUAGUUGGUUUUAUAGGUACACUUAUAAAGACCUCUCUGACGCGAGACUGCCGGUGAUAAACCGGAGGAAGGUGUGGACGACCUCGAAUCAUCAUGCCCCUUAUGCUCUGGGCUACACACGUGUUACAAUGGGGAGGACAGCGAGCAGCGAGACAGCGAUUUUAAGCAAAUCUCUAAAACCUAUCCUCGGUUCGGAUUGCACUCUGCAACUCAAGUGGAUGAAGUCGGAAUCGCUAAUAAACGCGCAUCAGCACACUGCGUUCAAUACCUU
RNAcentral lists this ribosomal RNA (368 nucleotides) under uncultured bacterium. Its description in RNAcentral is "bacterial SSU rRNA". It matches the Rfam family "Bacterial small subunit ribosomal RNA", at positions 1014 to 1372 of the family's 1533-position model. The record is from RNAcentral.